UGGGCUGCUCCGAAGAAAGCUUUCUUAGAGAGGCGACACUCGGUUGAUGAGGCGCCUGCAUGCUAGGGCCAGGUCGGGUGGAGAGUUCCACGUGGACGACGAUGCCUCAACGCAAGAUCCGUUUCAGUGAUCUACUAAUAACAUCAGGCUGACAGUAGGGUGGCAUGAGAUUUGAGCGUGACGCUUCGUGAGCGACACCUGGUAGGUGAGUCGUGAGAAGGUUUAAAUGCCAAAGUCAACGAGGUUCCAUUGUGGUGACACAUGGUUGAG
This 270-nucleotide long non-coding RNA is filed under the name Amborella trichopoda. RNAcentral's name for it is "long non-coding RNA (ATRI_LNC001500)". The record is from RNAcentral. Lineage: Eukaryota; Viridiplantae; Streptophyta; Magnoliopsida; Amborellales; Amborellaceae.